UUACAACCAAGAGAUCUGAGAAGCCUACUUAAUGAGCACAAGUGGUGCUGGAUAUAAAAAUCUAAUCUUCCUUCAGAAAUAGUUACAAGCUUUUCUGGUAUCUAUUUUACGAACAAUCAGCUGCCUACUUCAGGAGUUAUCAGUGUUGCCUCUCGGAUAUUCUCCCUAAAUUAUGAUUGUGCUGCAAGGAUUUUCACUAUACGUAUCUCAAUGUAAAUCAGACUGAAAGACACUGCAAACUGUUAACCCUUUAGGACUUAUUGCACAGCAUUUCCUUUACAUGCUACCCAACACCUACCUCUAAGCUAACUGUGCUUCUCCACCUUCACCUUCACUGAAG
Molecule: long non-coding RNA, 340 nt
Filed under: Phasianus colchicus (ring-necked pheasant)
Lineage: Eukaryota; Metazoa; Chordata; Aves; Galliformes; Phasianidae
Description: lncRNA (ENSPCLG00000015472.1)
Source: RNAcentral